RNAcentral lists this small nucleolar RNA (64 nucleotides) under Cervus hanglu yarkandensis (Yarkand deer). RNAcentral's name for it is "Small nucleolar RNA SNORD116 (ENSCHYG00000020335.1)". It matches the Rfam family "Small nucleolar RNA SNORD116", at positions 25 to 87 of the family's 92-position model. From Rfam's summary of the family: HBII-85 is a member of the C/D class of snoRNAs, which contain the C (UGAUGA) and D (CUGA) box motifs. HBII-85 is encoded in a tandemly repeated array with another C/D snoRNA, HBII-52, in the Prader-Willi syndrome (PWS) region of chromosome 15. Lineage: Eukaryota; Metazoa; Chordata; Mammalia; Artiodactyla; Cervidae. The record is from Rfam by way of RNAcentral.
GCAUUCCUUGGAAAAUCUGAACAAAAUGAGUGAGAACUCACUACCGUCUCCUCAUCGAAACUGA